Molecule: unclassified non-coding RNA, 209 nt
Filed under: plant metagenome
Description: partial contains small subunit ribosomal RNA, internal transcribed spacer 1, and 5.8S ribosomal RNA
Source: RNAcentral
UCUCCGUUGGUGAACCAGCGGAGGGAUCAGUACUGGAAUCGCAAGAUCCCACAACCCUGUGAACCUACCGAAACGUUGCCUCGGCGGGUCCCCGGCCUCUGCGCCGGGCGCUGCGCCCGCCGGCGGCCCCCUACUCUGUCUCUGCAGCGUGGCAGCGCAGAGUCCCAGAAAACAAGACAAGACUUUCAACAACGGAUCUCUUGGCUCUA